UCCCAGCCGUCGGCUUCGUCCCAGCCACUCCCAUAAAGCUGGCCCCAUGGAACUCUUGCCAAGCCUGGCUACUCGAGGCUUUCUCACUAGCCAUUCACUUUUCGCAGGCUCCUUUCAACAACACAGCUCCUGCAAAAGCUUUGGUCCCUUGGGGCAAACGGACUGGAGGGCCCAACUGCCACAGGGGGGAUGGACAGACCACUCUGGUUCUCACUCUCUGGUACCAGGACUGUACGCUUUUAUGAUUGUAAAUAGCCUGUGUAAGAUUUUUCAGUGUAAACACAAGAAUCAACACUGCCAAAGUGGCCUCCAUGUGAUUCACAGGAAGGAUGCAUAUAAGCUUGGGACCUUUCUGCCUUGCUGAUGCAACAUCU
This 374-nucleotide long non-coding RNA is filed under the name Lynx canadensis (Canada lynx). RNAcentral describes it as "lncRNA (ENSLCNG00005002077.1)". Lineage: Eukaryota; Metazoa; Chordata; Mammalia; Carnivora; Felidae. The record is from RNAcentral.